Oncorhynchus keta (chum salmon) is the source of this 396-nucleotide long non-coding RNA. RefSeq lists it as uncharacterized. Lineage: Eukaryota; Metazoa; Chordata; Actinopteri; Salmoniformes; Salmonidae. The record is from RefSeq and is a predicted model, not a curated record. The transcript is spliced from 3 exons.
CCCGGUCAAAAAAAGUGUGAUUACAGGUGCACAGACUAUGACCGGUCUGCUAGGAGGUGUCUGGGUACAUGUCUGUGUGUCUGGGAAACUCUUACGGUUCAGUUUGGUGAAGCUGAACAUGCCGGUCUGCUAGGAGGUGUCUGGGUACAUGUCUGUGUGUCUGGGAAACUCUUACGGUUCAGUCUGGUGAAGCUGAACAUGCCGGUCUGCUAGGAGGUGUCUGGGUACAUGUCUGUGUGUCUGGGAAACUCUUACGGUUCAGUCUGGUGAAGCUGAACAUGCCGGUCUGCUAGGAGGUGUCUGGGUACAUGUCUGUGUGUCUGGGAAACUCUUACGGUUCAGUCUGGUGAAGCUGAACAUGCCGGUCUGCUAGGAGGUGUAUUGGUACAUGUCUGU